CACACUGACUGGGGGAGUUCAAAAGCAGAGGUGCAUUCAGCAGGGCUGGGUAUGACUAAGGAGACUAUCAGGGCAGGAGCAGAGGCCACAGCAUCAACAGCGGUACAUCUGGGCCCUUGGCAUUCCUGGCACGCCCCUGCCCAGAGGCAGGAGUCCCUGACCAGCCAGCUUCCUCCAUAGCAUGACCUGUGCCAAAUGUAACCAUGGAUUCUGCUGGCGCUGCCUCAAGUCCUGGAAGCCAAAUCACAAAGACUAUUACAACUGCUCUGCCAUGGUAAGGCGCUGGGCACUAGGGGAGGGCAGAGGCCCAGAGCUGUUGGGGAGGGGUGCUGCUACCAGGUCCUGGGCAGACAGGGCUCCGUGUGCAGUGCAGCAUUCUAGCUGUUGGGAUAGAGGCUCACUGUGGGGAAGACAGAGCCACCUGGGCCUGCAGAUGCUGGAAAUGCAGAUGUUCACAGGGACCUUCAGCUCCAGAACAGGACUUCUCAUACCGAGGUGGCUACAGAAAGGCUGGGGAGGGCUGGGCACUCUCAGAAGGCAGCAGGGCAGAGCAGGAAAGAGCAGGGACCCUGCAUUUAGAGCCUGGCUCUGCUGCUUAGCAUGUGGCUUUGAGCAAGUUCAUUUACUUCUCCAAGCCUCAACAGCCUCUGCAAAAGGGGUGAAUAAUAUGACCUACUCCACACAGUCAUGAGGACUGAAUGAAGAUAAUCGGGGGAGGUGUAGAAAGGCCUCCAUGAAUGUUGGCUUUUCCACUUACUAACUCCCUCCUGUCCAAACAAAACACCCAAUAGCCCUCUCAACGUAUCCUUGCUAGGUAAGCAAGGCAGCUCGCCAGGAGAAGCGGUUUCAGGACUAUAAUGAGAGGUGCACUUUCCAUCACCAGGCGCGGGUGAGUCGGGAGGAAACAGCGGGUAGAUGCCUGCAGAAGCAGGUUGGGGUGGUGGGGUGGAGGGGGGUGGGCUGAAGGUCUGACCGGGCAAGUGGUGCUGCGCCACCUGUGCUGGUACUGAUACACCUUUCUCCACACAGGAGUUUGCUGUGAACUUGCGGAACCGGGUGUCUGCCAUCCAUGAAGUGCCCCCGCCCAGAUCCUUCACCUUCCUCAAUGAUGCCUGCCAGGGACUGGAGCAGGCUCGGAAGGUGGUAGCGGGUGGGGGAAGAGAGCAGGGGAGGGGUGUGCCAAAUGGGUCUGGGGGGCUUGGCUGCUUUCAUCGGACUUGCCUGGAUGAAGGGAAUGAGGAGAGGGCAGGCGGGAGAGCUGAUGGGAGCCCCUGCAGGUGCUGGCCUACGCCUGCGUGUACAGCUUCUACAGCCAGGACACAGAGUACAUGGAUGUGGUGGAGCAGCAGACAGAGAACCUGGAGCUGCACACCAAUGCCCUGCAGAUCCUCCUGGGUGAGCCACCCCUGCCAGCCAGGCCCUCCUCCUGCCUCCUCUCCUCUGCUGCACAGCCUGGUCCCUCCCAGACAGGUCAAGCGGCACCCUUACCUUCCCUCUCUCCUCUUCCUCUUCAUUCUUCAUGGCCUUCUCACUGCCUGGCUGUUAAAGCUCAGGUCGAAAGCCUACAUUGUAAGGUGCCCAAGGGCGCAGAUGUUCGUGGAUGUUUCUUGGUUUCUGGUCUUUACCCUGCUCCCCUAGGGAGCUUCAUGAGAAUGUCUAGAGCUGCACCUGGCGCUUGGUAGACGUUCCAUAGGUGUUUGUUGGAGGAAGGAAUGGAUGAGAAUGAGAAGGGAGGGAGCCUCUGUGCUUGCCCCCUCUGCAGAGGAGACCCUGCUGCGGUGCAGAGACCUGGCCUCCUCCCUGCGCCUCCUGCGGGCCGACUGCCUCAGCACGGGCAUGGAGCUGCUCCGGCGGAUCCAGGAGAGGCUGCUUGCCAUCCUGCAGCAUUCUGCCCAGGUACUGCCCGGCCCAGACCCCUUCUGCUCCUGCAUUCUGCGGGAGUUGAGGUCCUCCUGUCCCAGCACAGCCCCUGCCCUGGGGCGAGUCCAGAAGGAAAGGCAGCAAAGCGGGUGAAUGGAUGUUAGACCUGGGCGCACAUCCCGGCUUUUGGGCCAACCUGCCUGAUGCUGCUGGACCCUAUCACUUCACCUCCUGGGGAUUCCUACAAAAUAAAGGGGUUGGCUAGCCCACAUCAAGGGUAUUUGGUCAGGUGCCUAUCAGAAUCACUUGGGGAACUUUUCCAGACUGUACUUCCCAGAUAGGGAUUUGAAAUCCUAGGAGUGGGCAUCAGGGGAUUGGGGUCACUGGAGCAAGCGCUCUCCCAGGCUCUCUCCAGCUCUGAUGCACUGAUGCUGAGUCUAAACUGUGAGUCCUGUCCUCAGGUUGCUUACUGACUGGUAAGUCACAUGGGCAGAAAAGACAUAGAUUCUGUAAGCUCUUUAAGCACAGGGUGGUGUGCCUCACCUGGUACCCCGUAUCCCUGGAGACCAUCUGUGGGUGAACUCACAAAGGCAGUGUUUCAUGAAGUGCUGUGCUGGGAGGGGAGCAGUCCUAGCAGGAGCUUGGCCCUCCCAGAGCAUCAGUGGAAGGAAUGCUGGGUCCAAAGGCCCCAUGCCCUCUACCUCCUUCUCAAAUCCUUCUGUCUGCUCACCAGGAUUUCCGGGUUGGUCUUCAGAGUCCAUCAGUAGAGGCCUGGGAGGCAAAAGGACCCAACAUGCCUGGCAGUCAGCCCCAGGCCUCCUCAGGGCCAGAGGCGGAAGAGGAGGAGGAAGACGAUGAGGAUGAUGUGCCCGAGUGGCAGCAGGAUGAGUUUGAUGAGGAGCUGGACAAUGACAGCUUCUCCUACGAUGAGUCUGAGAACCUGGACCAAGAGACUUUCUUCUUUGGUGAUGAGGAGGAGGAUGAAGAUGAGGCCUAUGACUGAGGGGGCAGAUGCAGGAAACACCUAGAGCAGCCCCAGAGUCACGGGGCUGAGGGGGCGGGAGCUGCCCCUGUCAUGGGGAGGGGGAUUCCCAGCGUCUGUAGUGCCUCCUGUUUGCUGAAUAAAGGUCUCUUUCUCACAC
RNAcentral lists this small RNA (3002 nucleotides) under Pan troglodytes (chimpanzee). Its description in RNAcentral is "retained intron". The record is from RNAcentral. Lineage: Eukaryota; Metazoa; Chordata; Mammalia; Primates; Hominidae.